UUAAAGUUUUAUUUUGGCUUAUAAAUUUAUUAUUAGUUUAUUUUAUAUGUAAAUUUUUGUGUGAAAUUUAAUUUAUUUAUUUUAAAAAUAAUUAAUUUAAUUUUAUUCGCAGUAAUUAAUAUUAUUAAUUAAGGAAACUUAGAAAUAGAAAUAUUAAAUAGUAUUGACUUAAUUUGUGCCAGCAGUCGCGGUUAUACAAAUAAUGCAAAUAAAUUUAAUUAGUAAAAGUUAAAUUGAAGAAUUUAAAAAUAAAAAUAAAAUUAUUAGGUGAAAUUUUAAUUUUAUGUAUUUAUUUUAUAUAUUGAUUUAUUGAAGCUUACAAAUUUUAUUUUUAAACUAGGAUUAGAUACCCUAUUAUUUAAAAAGUAUUUAUUUUAUUAAAGUAGUAUUAGUUAUGUUCUUGAAACUUAAAAAAUUUGGCGGUAUUUUAAUCUAUUCAGAGGAACCUGUUCUGUAAUCGAUAAUCCACGAUGGACCUUUCUUAAAUUUGUUUAUAAAUCAGUUUAUAUACCGUUGUUAUUAGAAUAUUUUAUAAGAAUAAUAAUUUUCUAAAUAUUUUAUUAAAUAAUAUAUCAGAUCAAGGUGUAGCUUAUAUUUAAGUAGAAAUGGGUUACAAUAAAGUUAUUUAUAUGGAUAUUUGUAUGAAAAACUUAUUGAAAUUGGAUUUGAUAGUAAAUUUAUAAAGAUUAAUAAGUUGAUUUUAGCCCUAAAAUAUGUACACAUCGCCCGUCACUCUUAUUAUUAAGAUAAGAUAAGUCGUAACAUAGUAGAUGUACCGGAAGGUGUCUCUAGAAUGA
This 797-nucleotide non-coding RNA is filed under the name Chamaepsila testudinaria. Lineage: Eukaryota; Metazoa; Arthropoda; Insecta; Diptera; Psilidae. The record is from RNAcentral.